RNAcentral lists this ribosomal RNA (301 nucleotides) under uncultured bacterium. RNAcentral's name for it is "partial 16S ribosomal RNA". It matches the Rfam family "Bacterial small subunit ribosomal RNA", at positions 509 to 808 of the family's 1533-position model. The record is from RNAcentral.
CAGUAGCCGCGGUAAUACGUAGGUCCCGAGCGUUGUCCGGAUUUAUUGGGCGUAAAGCGAGCGCAGGCGGUUAGAAAAGUCUGAAGUGAAAGGCAGUGGCUCAACCAUUGUAGGCUUUGGAAACUGUUUAACUUGAGUGCAGAAGGGGAGAGUGGAAUUCCAUGUGUAGCGGUGAAAUGCGUAGAUAUAUGGAGGAACACCGGUGGCGAAAGCGGCUCUCUGGUCUGUAACUGACGCUGAGGCUCGAAAGCGUGGGGAGCGAACAGGAUUAGAUACCCCAGUAGUCCCUGUCUCUUAUACA